Molecule: long non-coding RNA, 353 nt
Organism: Arabidopsis thaliana (thale cress)
Lineage: Eukaryota; Viridiplantae; Streptophyta; Magnoliopsida; Brassicales; Brassicaceae
Product: other RNA
Exons: 1
Source: RefSeq
CACGUUGGAGCUUUGGUGGUUGUCGGGUCGGGUCUUGAAAAGAGGAAACAAGUCGCUCUGUACUCCACGUUGCUAAAGAACAGGUCUUCUUCGCUUCCUCAACUCCUUAAAAAUAGGAGUCGUUGAAGUAUCAAGUCACCCACUACCUCCUAUAUUUUUGUUUGACAUGGUUUUGAUUUUGCGAAGAAACAAAUUAAAACCUAAGUAUAUCAAACCUAUAGAAGAAGGUUACAGUUCAAGUUUUUGUGGACACUAGCAGAGCACCACUUGAACGUUCACACAUAUUUUGAAAGUAAAACAUCUCCAACAACCUCUCUAUGUCUUAAACUCGAGAGUAUCGUAGAAACUAUGUU